Molecule: ribosomal RNA, 255 nt
Filed under: uncultured bacterium
Lineage: Bacteria
Description: partial small subunit ribosomal RNA
Rfam family: Bacterial small subunit ribosomal RNA
Source: RNAcentral
AGGACGAACGCUGGCGGCGUGCUUAACACAUGCAAGUCGAGCGGAAAGGCCCUUCGGGGUACUCGAGCGACGAACGGGUGAGUAACACGUGGGCAACCUGCCCCUAGCUCUGGGAUAACUCCGGGAAACCGGUGCUAAUACCGGAUACGACCUCGAGCGGCAUCUCUUGAGGUGGAAAGCUCCGACGGUGAGGGAUGGGCCCGCGGCCUAUCAGCUUGUUGGUGGGGUAAUGGCCUACCAAGGCGACGACGGGUA